This is a non-coding RNA of Podarcis muralis (Common wall lizard), 692 nucleotides long. The record is from RefSeq and is a predicted model, not a curated record. Lineage: Eukaryota; Metazoa; Chordata; Lepidosauria; Squamata; Lacertidae.
GGUCUGAACACUCAUCCCCCAACACCACUUUCUGGACAUGGCUCAGGAGGAAGGAGGGGAACCACUGCAUAGCAGGGCCCUCAGCUCCCCUAGAGGGUCUAGAAGGAUACCAUGGUCAAAGGUCUCCAAAGCCGCUGAGAGAUCCAGCAGAACCAGGAAACAGCUUUCCCCUUGGUCUCUAGCCCAUCGGAGAUCAUCAAGCAGCGCAACCAGGGCAGUUUCAGUCCCAUGAUGAGGCCUGAAUCCCAAUUGGAAGGAUCAUGGUGGCAGAAGCUUUCCUGGUCCUGCAGCCCACAAAAGCUCCAGCCACAAGACGUUCAUUAGCUUUGAAGGGGCCACUGGAUUUGUGGUCUUUUCUUCAAAAGACAAAUAUUCUGAAUACCUUUACAGUGACGUAUGAUGUAAAUAGCGCUUCUGUUUUCCAGAAUUCCCCAGCCCACCAAGGAUUUGAGACCCAUCAGGUAUCCUCACCUGGUUUAGCCGGCCAGUUGAAGCCGUUCCUGGGAUUGUGGCCCUUUUGAAUGCUGACAGCUUCUCUCAGGAUUUCCUUUCCUCCCACUUUGAAGAAGGUGAUGGAGAAGACAUUCAGAAUUCUGAGGGAUGGGGCACUUUGGUUUCAUUAGGUAUAGACAUUUAAAUGUGUGAAAUGUGGAAUAUGCUUCACUGAAUGAGCACACAUAGCUCACAUCAAC